GGAGACGUGGCAGAGCGGCUUAAUGCAGCGGACUCAAAAUCCGACGGGGCUCGCCUGAGAACCAGCCCCCGUGGGUUCAAAUCCCACCGUCUCCGCCA
This 98-nucleotide transfer RNA is filed under the name Caulobacterales bacterium. RNAcentral's name for it is "tRNA-Leu". It matches the Rfam family "tRNA". Rfam says of the family: Transfer RNA (tRNA) molecules are approximately 80 nucleotides in length. Their secondary structure includes four short double-helical elements and three loops (D, anti-codon, and T loops). Further hydrogen bonds mediate the characteristic L-shaped molecular structure. tRNAs have two regions of fundamental functional importance: the anti-codon, which is responsible for specific mRNA codon recognition, and the 3' end, to which the tRNAs corresponding amino acid is attached (by aminoacyl-tRNA synthetases). tRNAs cope with the degeneracy of the genetic code in two manners: having more than one tRNA (with a specific anti-codon) for a particular amino acid; and 'wobble' base-pairing, i.e. permitting non-standard base-pairing at the 3rd anti-codon position. Lineage: Bacteria; Pseudomonadati; Pseudomonadota; Alphaproteobacteria; Caulobacterales. The record is from RNAcentral.